GUGGGUAGUUUGACUGGGGCGGUCUCCUCCUAAAGAGUAACGGAGGAGCACGAAGGUUGGCUAAUCCUGGUCGGACAUCAGGAGGUUAGUGCAAUGGCAUAAGCCAGCUUGACUGCGAGCGUGACGGCGCGAGCAGGUGCGAAAGCAGGUCAUAGUGAUCCGGUGGUUCUGAAUGGAAGGGCCAUCGCUCAACGGAUAAAAGGUACUCCGGGGAUAACAGGCUGAUACCGCCCAAGAGUUCAUAUCGACGGCGGUGUUUGGCACCUCGAUGUCGGCUCAUCACAUCCUGGGGCUGAAGUAGGUCCCAAGGGUAUGGCUGUUCGCCAUUUAAAGUGGUACGCGAGCUGGGUUUAGAACGUCGUGAGACAGUUCGGUCCCUAUCUGCCGUGGGCGCUGGAGAAC
This 402-nucleotide ribosomal RNA is filed under the name Salmonella enterica subsp. enterica serovar Typhimurium. RNAcentral's name for it is "partial 23S ribosomal RNA". It matches the Rfam family "Bacterial large subunit ribosomal RNA", at positions 2261 to 2662 of the family's 2925-position model. Lineage: Bacteria; Pseudomonadati; Pseudomonadota; Gammaproteobacteria; Enterobacterales; Enterobacteriaceae. The record is from RNAcentral.